CCUUCGGGGUUAGUGGCGCACGGGUGCGUAACGCGUGGGAACCUGCCUUUAGGUUCGGAAUAACUCCCCGAAAGGGGUGCUAAUACCGGAUAAUGUCUUCGGACCAAAGAUUUAUCGCCUUUAGAUGGGCCCGCGUUGGAUUAGCUAGUUGGUGGGGUAAAGGCUUACCAAGGCGACGAUCCAUAGCUGGUCUGAGAGGAUGAUCAGCCACACUGGGACUGAGACACGGCCCAGACUCCUACGGGAGGCAGCAGUGGGGAAUAUUGGACAAUGGGCGAAAGCCUGAUCCAGCAAUGCCGCGUGAGUGAUGAAGGCCUUAGGGUUGUAAAGCUCUUUUACCAGGGAUGAUAAUGACAGUACCUGGAGAAUAAGCUCCGGCUAACUCCGUGCCAGCAGCCGCGGUAAUACGGAGGGAGCUAGCGUUGUUCGGAAUUACUGGGCGUAAAGCGCACGUAGGCGGCUUUUUAAGUCAGGGGUGAAAUCCCGGGGCUCAACCCCGGAACUGCCUCUGAAACUGGAUGGCUAGAAUCUUGGAGAGGCGAGUGGAAUUCCGAGUGUAGAGGUGAAAUUCGUAGAUAUUCGGAAGAACACCAGUGGCGAAGGCGACUCGCUGGACAAGUAUUGACGCUGAGGUGCGAAAGCGU
This 644-nucleotide ribosomal RNA is filed under the name bacterium. Its description in RNAcentral is "bacterial SSU rRNA". It matches the Rfam family "Bacterial small subunit ribosomal RNA", at positions 83 to 762 of the family's 1533-position model. The record is from RNAcentral.